UACGGAGGAUCCAAGCGUUAUCCGGAUUCAUUGGGUUUAAAGGGUGCGUAGGCGGAAUGAUAAGUCAGUGGUGAAAGCCUGCAGCUUAACUGCAGAACUGCCAUUGAUACUGUCAAUCUUGAGUACAUUUGAUGUGGGCGGAAUGUGUCAUGUAGCGGUGAAAUGCUUAGAUAUGACAUAGAACACCAAUUGCGAAGGCAGCUGGCUACACGAAUAUUGACACUGAGGCACGAAAGCGUGGGGAUCAAACAGG
Molecule: ribosomal RNA, 253 nt
Filed under: uncultured bacterium
Lineage: Bacteria
Description: partial 16S ribosomal RNA
Rfam family: Bacterial small subunit ribosomal RNA
Source: RNAcentral